GAGAACUGUCAUACCAUGCUGAAAACACCGGUUCUCGUCCGAUUCCCGAAGUUAAGCAGCAUCGGGUCUGGUUAGUACUUGGAUGGGUGACCGCCUGGGAAUCCCAGAUGCAGUUUCUU
This 119-nucleotide ribosomal RNA is filed under the name Strigamia maritima. Lineage: Eukaryota; Metazoa; Arthropoda; Chilopoda; Geophilomorpha; Linotaeniidae. The record is from RNAcentral.